RNAcentral lists this non-coding RNA (29 nucleotides) under Cricetulus griseus (Chinese hamster). The record is from RNAcentral. Lineage: Eukaryota; Metazoa; Chordata; Mammalia; Rodentia; Cricetidae.
UGGUUACCAAAUGGAAAAAGAUGAACUUC